GCAGUUGUUGUAUCCCGAAGGAUGGUGAUGGGAUACCGGAGCGUGGACCGAGCGGAAAUCUGUUGAUUGAGUUUUACAUUCCAAUCCUCAAGUUAAAUAUCUACAACAAAUGUGCAUCUUAUUCGCCGAUAGUCGCCCAAAUUACGUGGUCUGGUUCGGCAAUUAUCAACUACCACACUACAAGAACAAUUACAAGUUAUGAAUUACACAAGACAUCAAGUUGUAAAAUAAAGAUGGAACUCUCACCCAACCAACUGGUCACUGCAACUUACAAUGAAUUUUCACAGCUGGAAUUUCCCGGGCUGAGCGAACUCCACGCGCUCGGCUGCCUGGGGGCGAUUCUUUGAGGCUGCCCCUGAUACAGUUGCUGUCUCCAUUCUGUUGGGAGCAGCAGGGCUGGACGUCGUGACAACCGUCUCGGCGCUGGAAGUCACCUGGUGGAGCGUCAGAGUCGUCGCAUAUGAGAUGUUGGCAGGCCACAGCCAGCCCCUUUGAAUUUGAUGGCAACAAAAGAGAUUUGCAAACGCUCUACACGUAAGUAUCGAUGACCCAACGAACGUGUUCCCUGUGAACAUCAGUCUCGUAUCAACAGUUACAUGCAGAUACUUUGCGGCUAAAACAUUACUGCCUGUUUCAAUGCCAGGAAAGCAGGCGCACAUUUUAAUCAUAUGCAUAAUUAGCCUUAGGCAAGGAAACAAAAUGCAAGCACAAACAUUACGAAAGCAAAUUUGUGCAGGACACCAAUAAAAUGUAAGGGGUCUGUAAGCUAAAGUAUUGCAAAAGCUAAGAACUAACAUAUUUUGACAAGUACAAUUUUCCUUGACUCUUGUAUGACCUGCAUCAAAAACUAAGUAGUUUACUGGAACUGUCACAGGCAUUAGAAAUACUAAUUCUCAUAGCAUGUUUAAUUAGAAUGUUUUAAAUGGCAAGUAUAAUGGGCCUGUCUUUUACAGUAAAAUCGUACAUGACAAACCAGACAUUCCAAUAUGGCUGUCACUGUAUGUAGCAGACGGGAUAACCUCCCAUCAGCAGCAACAGAUCCCAAUUUGAAUGGUCGAGGCUCCAGCCACGGCGUAACUCUGUUAGCAUCAGCAAAAUUUCCGUUUUUUAUAUUAAGACCGUUUACCAUUUCCAGCAAUGCGCCUUGUGCACAGGAAUGGUUUCACCUAGGUAGGGACGAUGCUUGCACUUGCGCAGGACUCCGCCCUCAGUUAGCUUCCUGGUUGGUUGGUUGGCUUCCGCCAGUCUUUAGCGAAUGGUGUUGUGAGCUGGUGGUGUAUAAAGUGUUCCUAAAACAAUAUACUUUUAUAUUCAGAGAAAACCUUUUCUGCAAUCUUCUAUUGAAUUCUUUAUUCUCCUGCUCUUAACAAAGGGUGAGACAUGGAUUUCCUAUUUAUUAUUAAUAUUAUUAUUUCGUUAUCUUGAGAGGUUGUAUGUGAUUUUUAAGCAUUAAAAUGAUAGCAGCGACACACGUCGGCCACAUCAA
This is a non-coding RNA of Zootermopsis nevadensis, 1486 nucleotides long. Lineage: Eukaryota; Metazoa; Arthropoda; Insecta; Blattodea; Termopsidae. The record is from RefSeq and is a predicted model, not a curated record.